Molecule: long non-coding RNA, 1311 nt
Organism: Onychomys torridus (southern grasshopper mouse)
Lineage: Eukaryota; Metazoa; Chordata; Mammalia; Rodentia; Cricetidae
Exons: 2
Source: RefSeq, a predicted model, not a curated record
GCCAUGCUGGCCUCUGAUGAGAAAAGGGGACGGAGAUGCCACUGAUUGAUUUGACCUUGCAGAGCUGUGGGGACAGGAUGUUCUGUUCUUUCCGAUGCUGUGAAGUGGUGUGGGUGAAGGGGACUUCCUGCUAAUCUGGGCUGGGAGAGCCUGGUGCUCCCCCACCUCAACGCCUCACAUCCACAUAGAGUUGACUUCCUCCAUUGGUUUCCUGCCUAAAUGCACUCGAAGUGACCACCAUCAAGAUGGAAAGAGCUUUUCACGAGGUCCAGAGGCGACGGCUGCACCCUGCUGAAACUCAAGUAGUUUUUUUUUUUUUUUCUUUUCAAGCCAUGACGAAAAGUGGCUGUGUUCUCCGGUCAAGCUAUUGUAGAAAGGCUGAAAGCAGCAGCCACGUUGGUCCCUCGAGCUCCAGAAACUACCCACAGGCCGUGCUGCCAUUCUGGCCUGUUAAUGUCCUUGCUUCAAUCGGGUUGACUUCUCGUGUUCAUCAGACCUGAUUCCCUGCUCGAUAAAACCCCAACCGUUAAGGGGAAAUGUUUGUCAUCUCAGCACCUGGUUUCAGGACCAAAGUUCUCGACUCACAGUUGCAAAAUCACCUUUGCCCAGGGAUCUCUGGUGGCUGAGUGCAGCGGGGACUACCCCAGGAGCUGUCUGGAUAGGCCGGGUAGGCAGUGGUGGGGAGUUCAGGUGACCGGGACUUCUAGGUUGUCAUGGAGAUUAUCAACCAUCUGAGGAAGCCUGCUGGGACAGGUAGGAGGUGAGGACCCCCCCCCACACACACACACACCCGAGCAAGUUGUCUGCCUUUUACCAAUUUCUUGGCACCUGGUGUACACAGCCUGGAAACGGGCUGUCCCUAAUCUUUGUUGGUAGCUACUUGGGCACUGGACUCUGGAAACAAAAGGGAAGCUAAGCACUGUGACUUCUCUUAGGAAAUGCAUCAAAUUCUCUUGCAAUUCUUCAGGGGCCCACAGAACCCAAGGGUGAUUUUUGUGGGUGUCCAGGAAGGGGAAGGUGCCUCUUGCCAUAUUCAGUCUGUAGGGCCCAACUACUAACUUGCCCUGAGAACCCUACCCUCAGAAUUUCUAGCCACUCACUCCAGUUAGGGCACCUGGCCAUGCUGAACAUCAUACCAGCUCUCCAUUGUUAAUUGCUGUGAUGAUCAAUAUUGACUAUGAACUUGAUAGGGUCUUAAAUAAUCUUGGAGACAAACCUCCAUCACGAGAGAGUUUCUAGAUGAAUGGAGGUGAGGCGAUAUACCCAAAAGGUGACUGGUCCUGGAAUGAAUAAAAACAAGAUUGAGAUGAA